Molecule: long non-coding RNA, 358 nt
Organism: Adelges cooleyi (spruce gall adelgid)
Lineage: Eukaryota; Metazoa; Arthropoda; Insecta; Hemiptera; Adelgidae
Exons: 3
Source: RefSeq, a predicted model, not a curated record
AAAAUUCAAACUGAAUACACCACUCAUCUUUAACAAUUCACUAAUAAAAGAAAAGCAGGAAAAUGAAAUUUUAUAUUAUUACAUUAUUUUUAAUGCUUUGUGCAGCAUGCAUCUCUGCUCAUAUUGAUGAACAUACAGUUUCAAUGGGUAGACAAGGAACGGGAGAAAAACCGGCAGCUAAAAAAGGCGUGUUAGUUGAUAUAGGAGCCAGCCAUCAUCAUUGAUAUCAUUGAGUGUGGACAAAUGGAUCUGUGCAUUACGGUUUCCAAGUUAUUAACAGAAAACAAUUACAAUUGAUAGUACAAAUGUAAUAUUAAUUUCUGUAAAACUAUGACACAAUAAAUUAUUUAAAAUGAAA